Molecule: long non-coding RNA, 668 nt
Organism: Pomacea canaliculata
Lineage: Eukaryota; Metazoa; Mollusca; Gastropoda; Architaenioglossa; Ampullariidae
Exons: 3
Source: RefSeq, a predicted model, not a curated record
GUCUGGUGCCAAACUUUAAAAAUGUUCCACUUCGAUGGGAGGGUCUGGUGCAAGACUUGGAUAACACGAUUUUCACUCAUCAGUAACUUGCUCGCCAUCGGAACCACGUUGUGUCUCUGUACACCGACCAAAAACGAUCACAACAGUACAAAGCCCGAUAACCGUACCUGCAAUGACAAUGCACCCAUCCUCUUGGAAUUGCAUUCGCUGUUAACGCUAAUCGCAGGGGAAAAUACUCGCGUGGAGGCGACAAGAAGUUGGGAAAAGCAGAAAGAAAUCAUUAGAAAAGAAGUAGAAGAAGGCGAAUGCAGGCACGUUCUACAGUACGCGCGAAAUAAAAACCUAUCGCAACAAUACCCAUCCUCAACACGGUACCAAAUGAGAAUGCACCCAGGCCUGACGAGAGGGGGGGACAGGGGGGUCUGGUGUACCCGGGCCAGCGGCUGUCAAGGGGGCCCGGCCUUGGGUCAGAAAAUGAACACGAAGCUGAAGUGUCCUGCUCCAUUGGGAUUUCUGGUCUGUUUUCUUAUUGUCCACGUGGUGCAAGGUGUGACCUCAGGCAAUGUGACUGGUACUGAGUUGCACUGUACAGGAGUCGUACCUGAUGUACAAACUGUUCUGACUCAGCACGCGCACGAAGUCUGCACUAACACGUGGUGUUGCGCAUU